GAACAAAACCACAAGGAUUACAGUUUCGACCUGUAAUACAAUUUAUAACAAUUUUUGUUUA
RNAcentral lists this transfer RNA (61 nucleotides) under Pseudobiotus spinifer. Its description in RNAcentral is "tRNA-Arg". Lineage: Eukaryota; Metazoa; Tardigrada; Eutardigrada; Parachela; Doryphoribiidae. The record is from RNAcentral.